AUUGAACGCUGGCGGCAUGCUUUACACAUGCAAGUCGAACGGUAACAGGCCUUCGGGUGCUGACGAGUGGCGCACGGGUGAGUAAUGCAUCGGAACGUGCCCAGAGGUGGGGGAUAACGCAGCGAAAGCUGUGCUAAUACCGCAUGUGAUCUGAGGAUGAAAGCGGGGGACCAGGCAGCAAUGUUUGGCCUCGCGCCUUUGGAGCGGCCGAUGUCAGAUUAGGUAGUUGGUGGGGUAAAGGCCUACCAAGCCGACGAUCUGUAGCUGGUCUGAGAGGACGACCAGCCACACUGGGACUGAGACACGGCCCAGACUCCUACGGGAGGCAGCAGUGGGGAACUUUGGACAAUGGGCGCAAGCCUGAUCCAGCAAUGCCGCGUGCGGGAAGAAGGCCUUCGGGUUGUAAACCGCUUUUGUACGGAACGAAAAGGCUCUGGCUAAUACCUGGGGCUGAUGACGGUACCGUAAGAAUAAGCACCGGCUAACUACGUG
RNAcentral lists this ribosomal RNA (492 nucleotides) under uncultured bacterium. RNAcentral's name for it is "partial 16S ribosomal RNA". It matches the Rfam family "Bacterial small subunit ribosomal RNA", at positions 30 to 507 of the family's 1533-position model. The record is from RNAcentral.